UCACUGUUGAGGGGUCCCACAAUAGGACGAAACGGCCGUCCAGUGC
This 46-nucleotide non-coding RNA is filed under the name Schistosoma mattheei. The record is from RNAcentral. Lineage: Eukaryota; Metazoa; Platyhelminthes; Trematoda; Strigeidida; Schistosomatidae.